CGACUGGAGAAGCGUGGCAGUUUCAGAGUUUUCCUCCAGGGAGGACCUCAUUCAGGCCAUAAUGUGCAGCUGCUUCGUCCCUGUGUGUUUUGGGAUUUUACCUCCUACGUACCAUGGAGUGCGUUACGUUGAUGGGGAACUUGGCAUGUGGCGGGCCAACUUUGUGUCCCGGACCACGAUCACCGUGUCUGGUUUCGCUGGUGAAUACGACAUCUGUCCCAGAGAUGGCCCAUCUGCCUUCUUCACUUUCCAGCUCUCUGACUGUAUUUUACAGAUAUCAAAAAGAAACAUUUGCCGC
This is a long non-coding RNA of Chroicocephalus ridibundus (black-headed gull), 298 nucleotides long. RefSeq lists it as uncharacterized. The record is from RefSeq and is a predicted model, not a curated record. NCBI's taxonomy places the organism in Eukaryota, Metazoa, Chordata, Aves, Charadriiformes, Laridae. The transcript is spliced from 3 exons.